CCACAAUGGACGAAAGUCUGAUGGAGCGACGCCGCGUGAUUGAUGAAGUCCCUCUGGGACGUAAAGAUCUUUUAUGAGGGAAGAAGUUUAUUGACGGUACCUCAUGAAUAAGAGGCUCCUAAUCUCGUGCCAGCAGGAGCGGUAAUACGAGAGCCUCGAGCGUUAUCCGGAAUUAUUGGGCGUAAAGGGUGCGUAGGUUGUUCUGUUAGUCUUUUGUCAAAGCCCCGAACUUAACUUGGGAUAAUGCGGAAGAAACGGCAGAACUUGAAAGUGCGAGAGGCGUACGGAACUCAUGGUGUAGGGGUGAAAUCCGUUGAUAUCAUGGGGAACACAAAUGCGAAGGCAGUACGCUGGCGCAUAUUUGACACUGAAGCACGAAAGCGUGGUAGCGAAUGGGAUUAG
Molecule: ribosomal RNA, 402 nt
Filed under: uncultured organism
Description: bacterial SSU rRNA
Rfam family: Bacterial small subunit ribosomal RNA
Source: RNAcentral